GCACGUAGUUAGCCGGUGCUUAUUCUUCAGGUACCGUCAUUAGCAAAAGAUAUUAGCUUUCACCGUUUCUUCCCUGACAAAAGAGCUUUACAACCCGAAGGCCUUCUUCACUCACGCGGCAUUGCUGGAUCAGGCUUUCGCCCAUUGUCCAAAAUUCCCCA
Molecule: ribosomal RNA, 161 nt
Filed under: uncultured bacterium
Lineage: Bacteria
Description: partial 16S ribosomal RNA
Source: RNAcentral